GGCAUCUUCAACGCAUUCAGCUUAUGCAAGACAUUGAUAGCAUGAUUUCUCUAAUCCAUGGAAAUACAUACACUUUACUUUCUUUCUGCAUUAGACAAUCUCUAUUACAUGAAGUACACAACAGCUUGAAAACUGAUGGAAAAGAUCUCAAGAAUUCUAUUGCAGAAAUGGAAAAUAUUUUAAAAGAAGAUGGUGAACGUACAUGUGUCUUAAAGGGUCCUGUAUAUGAAGGGUUGAAAUCCUCAAAUGAAACUCAAGUAAAAUCACUGAGUUUAAGAGAACCAGUUGCCAUAAAAAGAAAUGAAGAGCUGUGUGAUGAAAACAACACUCCAAUAUGUCAUGUCAUAAAUGAUGAUGAAUUCCAUAUCUCACACCUGAAUUUGACUGGACAGGAUAAUUCACUUGAAAUGGUAUCAAGAGACCCAUAUUGCUGGGUUCAGAAUUCAGAGUUCUCUUUUGAUGAUCUUAAGCUUUAGACCAAGUUCAGAAGAAAUGUCACAUAUUAAUUAUGUUCUCUAUUCAAUUAUCUUUAUGACAAACUAGUUUUUAGAUGCUCUUCACAUUUUAGCAUUAGAGAAGAACAUUCUAUGGGCCUACCACAUAUGCCUCUUUGUUUGUUUGAUUGUUGCAUUUCUUAAAGUUGUGCACAACCUCCAUGUCAAGGAGUGUAACGUUUGCUAUCUCAUUACUGACUCUCAUUUGUUUGUCUUAAACUAAUAAAUUUCAUACCACUUACGUAAGAUCAUACGUCCCUCUUCAUUGUACAAAUGCUCUUUAGCGUUGAAUUUUGUUUGGUUUUAUUCCGCUCACUACGCGUAUAUGAGAACAUUGGCCGGGGGGUGGGGGCAGAGGUAUACGUAGUUUGAUGGGUAAACCUGUAAGAAGACGUUCACUAUGACUGAAAAGGUAGUGUUUCAUUCGUGUUUCUACAACACUCUGUCAACUUUUAAUGUUGUGUAAUCAUUAAAAAUGACAAUGGUUAUCAAUGAUAAAUCGCGAGAGUACAUUCUCGGCUUGCUUUAAAGCAACUGAGAACGACCAGGAAGCUGGGGACAGCCGAUACCAACAUGUUAGUCUACUGCGAUUGGAUGAAACGGAUAUUUUGGGCGUGUUUUAAGAGGGGACAGGAAUUGGAUCGAUUUUUUUUUAGAUUAUGGUGCCACAGAAUUUCAUUAAUCCCACAGGCAGCUUCAAAUGGCGGAUGUUAAGUUUGUUAUGGAUUUGAUAGGGUUUUGAGGAACUGGCGUCAUCUUCACGCUUCGGCCAGCUUGACCCUUGGUGGUCACGGAAUUCCAGGCUAGGUGGGCCCCAGAAAGAGACUGCACGCAGAGAGGAAGGGAACUCUGCCCCGUAGUCCACAAAACCAGGAUCACAAUCGGCGAUGACUCGCCUUAUCACUUGUUGAGGGCAGCCAAAUUCGGAGUAUUUCGAACAAACAUUCGCGGACAGCCGACAUGGGGAGAUUCUCCGACUUGUGGGUUGGGCGUGGGGCUAACAAUUGUCGACUGUGAGAAUAAUAAAUUAUUCCGAAAUGUUGCGCGUAGCCUCUGACUGUGAAGGCUUAUUUGCAAAGACCCAACAAUGGGAAUGGUCUGGUUGGUCAUAUCAAAACCUCACCUGAAAUAUACGUUUCAAACAUUCUAUUGAUGCUUCACAUUUCUGUCACAAUUAUAGUGCAUAAUUUUGUAUAUUAUUUUUUCUUACGCAUUCUGCGAGCUCUGCUUGAUUCCUAAUACAAAAUAUACUGGAGAAAUACCCGUCAAAAAUAACAACAAUCUUUUGAAACCCAUUCCCAUGUAUUGCACAUUACACCCGAGACUCAAUGAAAUUUUAUAAAGUUAAUUCCUCCAAUUUUCCCUUCGUAGCAAAAAAGAAAAACCCCGUUUCUGUUAACAAAGAUUGAACUCAAAUGCAAGCGCAGUGCUGGUGGAGUUAAAACUGUAUCUGCAAUUCUGUAGUUCAGUGAAGGGUUCAAAGAAAGAAUAACUAAACACUCACUGCAUUUCAACGAUGGGUUCAUGUCUCUUACCCCCCUCAACCAUAAGCUAAUCCUCCAGACAAAGUCAUUCCUCAGUCAGUAAUUGAAAACAACAAAAUAUGCAACUGUAAACGUUUCCCUGAAAAGUACUGAAGCUCAGUUCAGUUCCAUAGCAGUAACUUAUGAAUAGAUAAUUAAAUUCAGUGUAUCUUGCAGUCUGGAUGUCUACAGUCGAGGGAAAAAACUCUACAUAAAUUUAAUACAGCCCUGUAUAAGAUUUUAAUACAAUCUAUGGCCUAUUGCUGCGUAAUUAGUAAUUCUUAUGUAUGUUGUAAACCUUGGUGAGUGACGUUUAUACAAAAAAUGUACUUACUAAUAUAAACUGUAAAUAAAUAAAGCAAGCAUUCCCAAACAGUAAAUCUGAA
Zootermopsis nevadensis is the source of this 2403-nucleotide non-coding RNA. NCBI's taxonomy places the organism in Eukaryota, Metazoa, Arthropoda, Insecta, Blattodea, Termopsidae. The record is from RefSeq and is a predicted model, not a curated record.